Molecule: ribosomal RNA, 104 nt
Filed under: Monopterus albus (swamp eel)
Lineage: Eukaryota; Metazoa; Chordata; Actinopteri; Synbranchiformes; Synbranchidae
Source: RNAcentral
CAUGGUGAGCUCUGGAUAUACCUGAUCUCGUCUGAUCCUGGAAGCUAAGUAAGGCUGGGCUUGGUCAGUAGCUACAUGGGAGAUCGCCAGAUCAGGCAUCAGGC